GUGUCAGCCGCCGCGGUAAUACGGAGGGUGCGAGCGUUAAUCGGAAUUACUGGGCGUAAAGGGCGCGUAGGCGGUCGCGCAAGUCGGGUGUGAAAGCCCCGGGCUCAACCUGGGAAUUGCAUUCGAUACUGCGUAACUAGAGUCUGGUAGAGGGAAGCGGAAUUCCGCAUGUAGCGGUGAAAUGCGUAGAUAUGCGGAGGAACACCAGUGGCGAAGGCGGCUUCCUGGACCAAGACUGACGCUGAGGCGCGAAAGCGUGGGGAGCAAACAGGAUUAGAUACCCUGGUAGUCCACGCCCUAAACGAUGAGGACUAGACGUUGGGGGGAUAAAACCCUUUAGUGUCGCAGCUAACGCGUGAAGUCCUCCGCCUGGGGAGUACGGCCGCAAGGUUGAAACUCAAAUGAAUUGACGG
Molecule: ribosomal RNA, 413 nt
Filed under: uncultured bacterium
Lineage: Bacteria
Description: bacterial SSU rRNA
Rfam family: Bacterial small subunit ribosomal RNA
Source: RNAcentral